CCUACGGGAGGCAGCAGUGAGGAAUAUUGGUCAAUGGACGAGAGUCUGAACCAGCCAAGUAGCGUGAAGGAUGACUGCCCUAUGGGUUGUAAACUUCUUUUAUAUGGGAAUAACAUGUUCCACGUGUGGGAUUUUGUAUGUACCAUAUGAAUAAGGAUCGGCUAACUCCGUGCCAGCAGCCGCGGUAAUACGGAGGAUCCGAGCGUUAUCCGGAUUUAUUGGGUUUAAAGGGAGCGUAGGUGGAUUGUUAAGUCAGUUGUGAAAGUUUGCGGCUCAACCGUAACAUUGCAGUUGAAACUGGCAGUCUUGAGUACAGUAGAGGUGGGCGGAAUUCGUGGUGUAGCGGUGAAAUGCUUAGAUAUCACGAAGAACUCCGAUUGCGAAGGCAGUUCACUGGACUGCAACUGACACUGAGGCUCGAAAGUGUGGGUAUCAAACAGGAUUAGAUACCCGAGUAGUC
Molecule: ribosomal RNA, 460 nt
Filed under: uncultured bacterium
Lineage: Bacteria
Description: partial 16S ribosomal RNA
Rfam family: Bacterial small subunit ribosomal RNA
Source: RNAcentral